This is a long non-coding RNA of Phascolarctos cinereus (koala), 262 nucleotides long. Lineage: Eukaryota; Metazoa; Chordata; Mammalia; Diprotodontia; Phascolarctidae. The record is from Ensembl.
CAGCAGCCUGCCUAUUGUGUCAUGAUAUGGAAACAUUUGUUUUUUUCUGCUUUUUUCUUCUCCCUCAGGUCCUAUAAAUUCAGAUCCUUCCUUUGCGGCUUCUAUUUCUUCCUGGUCACUCGCAUCUCGCUUGUUCCUCUGACCCACGCAGCCCUUGUAGCACCUGGAGGAGUGGUCAUCUGCUUUGCACACCAAAACCUUACACUGCAGAGUUCAUAAAAUCAUUAAGGGCUUGGGAAGGGACUCAUCCAUCAGAUUUCAG